This 301-nucleotide ribosomal RNA is filed under the name uncultured bacterium. RNAcentral's name for it is "partial 16S ribosomal RNA". It matches the Rfam family "Bacterial small subunit ribosomal RNA", at positions 509 to 807 of the family's 1533-position model. The record is from RNAcentral.
CAGUCGCCGCGGUAAUACGUAGGGUGCAAGCGUUAAUCGGAAUUACUGGGCGUAAAGCGUGCGCAGGCGGUUCGUUAAGACAGAUGUGAAAUCCCCGGGCUUAACCUGGGAACUGCAUUUGUGACUGGCGGGCUAGAGUAUGGCAGAGGGGGGUAGAAUUCCACGUGUAGCAGUGAAAUGCGUAGAGAUCUGGAGGAAUACCGAUGGCGAAGGCAGCCAUCUGGCCUAAUACUGACGCUGAGGUACGAAAGCAUGGGGAGCAAACAGGAUUAGAUACCCCUGUAGUCCCUGUCUCUUAUAC